This 465-nucleotide ribosomal RNA is filed under the name uncultured Klebsiella sp. Its description in RNAcentral is "bacterial SSU rRNA". It matches the Rfam family "Bacterial small subunit ribosomal RNA", at positions 338 to 795 of the family's 1533-position model. The record is from RNAcentral. Lineage: Bacteria; Pseudomonadati; Pseudomonadota; Gammaproteobacteria; Enterobacterales; Enterobacteriaceae.
CCUACGGGCGGCUGCAGUGGGGAAUAUUGCACAAUGGGCGCAAGCCUGAUGCAGCCAUGCCGCGUGUGUGAAGAAGGCCUUCGGGUUGUAAAGCACUUUCAGCGGGGAGGAAGGCGUUAAGGUUAAUAACCUUGUCGAUUGACGUUACCCGCAGAAGAAGCACCGGCUAACUCCGUGCCAGCAGCCGCGGUAAUACGGAGGGUGCAAGCGUUAAUCGGAAUUACUGGGCGUAAAGCGCACGCAGGCGGUCUGUCAAGUCGGAUGUGAAAUCCCCGGGCUCAACCUGGGAACUGCAUUCGAAACUGGCAGGCUAGAGCCUUGUAGAGGGGGGUAGAAUUCCAGGUGUAGCGGUGAAAUGCGUAGAGAUCUGGAGGAAUACCGGUGGCGAAGGCGGCCCCCUGGACAAAGACUGACGCUCAGGUGCGAAAGCGUGGGGAGCAAACAGGAUUAGAUACCCGUGUAGUC